RNAcentral lists this ribosomal RNA (279 nucleotides) under uncultured bacterium. Its description in RNAcentral is "partial 16S ribosomal RNA". It matches the Rfam family "Bacterial small subunit ribosomal RNA", at positions 506 to 784 of the family's 1533-position model. The record is from RNAcentral.
UGCCAGCCGCCGCGGUAAUACGGAGGGUGCAAGCGUUAUCCGGAAUCACUGGGUUUAAAGGGUGCGUAGGCGGCGCUAUUAGUCAGAGGUGAAAUCUUGCGGCUUAACCGUAAAAUUGCCUUUGAAACUGUAGCGCUUGAAUCACGUUGAGGUCAGCGGAAUGUGACAUGUAGCGGUGAAAUGCAUAGAUAUGUCAUAGAACACCAAUUGCGUAGGCAGCUGGCUAGGCGUGUAUUGACGCUGAGGCACGAAAGCGUGGGGAGCGAACAGGAUUAGAUA